CGCACACGACGUUCCACCGACCUAAUAGAUCAAAGAUAAUGUAGUACCACCUCGCCUACCGACCCAAAAACGCAUAGAGGAGGAGGACUAUAUAAGGAGACCCCCCUGGCCCCUGGAGGAGACAAGAAAUUAUCAUAGAGAUUGAGGGGUGCCCUCGAAGGAAAACCUCUUCUCUAAAUAAUAUUUCUUUUUAGGCUUAGCAACUAAUGUAAGUAGAAAUAGAUCUUCUAGUUUCUACUAGAUUGAGAGAGAUAGAGUGGAGGUGUAGAUCGGAGGAAGGCCGGCCUGUCGGUGUCUACUCCGAGUUGUACCUGCGGGAUCAAGUCUCCUAACCCGAGGCUUGCUUCUAAGAUUCUUCAGUAAUUCGACUUCUAAUUCUAGUAAGUUCUUGUUUUAUUGUUCUUUGGUUUAUGAGUUUACUUUAAUCCUCUUCCGGUUGAGUAUUAGAGUAAUCAUUGCUAGCGUAAACGUGGUGUUUAGGCUAGGGUACUCAUAGAUAUCUCCUGACUAGCUGGACCGUGGUAGUAGCGAGGAACAUGACAUUUCCGAGUUACCUUUGUAUCCCAUAUCUUGUUAGCAGGACGGGUAGGUUUAUAGGUGCGGGUCGAACAUCCUUUGUGUUGUCUAGAUUCCGUGAGCCUCCCCAAUAGAACAAUAGAUCAUCCUUACCAAGGUUAGAACGAGACUACGGUUGCAGUCUUCUCUAUACAUCACUCACAUCGAGAAACAUUCUUUAUAGCCUAAAGGGGUAGUAGCAAUAGAUUUGGUUAGUCAGAUGCACCCUUUCUCCUAGUGGUAAAAAUAUAAAUACGAUAACUCUGGAAAACCUCCCGGGUGAAAUGCUCACCGAUAUCCGUGCGCUUGCGGAUCAUUUUCUAAUUGCGUUACCAAAUAUCAACAAGCAUUUCUGGCGCCGUUGCCGGGGAGAAAGACGGUUUGCUGAGAUAACUUUGAGUCUUGCUAUUAUCUUGUAUUAUACUUCUAUUCUUUUAUCUUUUUACUUUUAUUUUUAUGGAUAACUUAAAUUCCAUACCUAUUAUUGAAUUCUUUGCACCUUCGGAGACCAGCCAUAGACCAUGGGAGUCAACAAGUCCUGCCCCUAAUUAUGAUCUAUGUCCGGAGUUGAUUGCAAUAGGUCAAAACCAACCCUUUUCCAUAGCCGAGGUCCUAUCUUUUAAUCAAGAAGAUAAUGCACUUUUAGCUACACCUUGGGAAUCUGUUAAUCUUUCUAUAAAUUCUGGUUUAGACCUAGCCCUACAAGACCAUGUUUUUCCUCGAUAUUUUCAUAUUGGUCUUAAUCAUAUAACCUUUGGUAGAAUCAUUCUUUCUUUAUCUAUUAGUAAAGGAAGGUAUGUCUUCAUUUGUGGACAUCCUUCUUGUACUAUUCUUCAUAGAAAAAUCUUAGAGAUAGAGAAGGAAUCAUCUCCCAGACAAGGAAAGGAAGUUUUAAUAGCCAAUUUCCAAACAUUUCAAUCCCAUGAUUCGGCUAUCCAACCCAUACUUGAGCUUAAUAAUCUCUACUAUGCUAUUUCUCUUGAACCUCCCGAUAAUCCUAUAAAUCUAUCUAGACAUCCCAUGCAUAAGAAGGAGGAUCAAGAAGAGCAACAUCAAUGGCUAGAGGGCAUUAAAAAUCCAUGUGCUAUCACCAUUGAAUGGAUAGAUAAAACAAACUUGAGAGACAAUCCUAGAGGAAUUUUAAGCAUUCAUGAAGAAUCAUCCUUGGAGUUUGAGAAUGAGAGAAACAACAGUGAGCAUGGAAGUUAUUUCAUAAAUACCUUACCAAGUCCUUGCUCAUAUAAAACAUCUCCCCAAUCAAUUGGUCUCUCCAUCCUUACCACAUUUGAGAUCUCCAACCCCCUCUUCCUUUCUAUUUAUAAAAACUUUAAAAGAGCGGUUGUCGAUGCAUAUGUCUAUAAUAAAUAUUGCAGAUCUCGUUGAGUUAAUUGAUGGUUUCCCAAGGACAAGCUUAGUGUCCUAAAACAAGCACUUAUCAGAUCGUAACAUGAACUUCUAAUUAUUUGCAACAUUGCCUUGUGUAUUGAGCAUAUAAGGAUAAUUGUAGAAAUAUUCCUUCGGGUAUUCUUGCCACUAACCUUUCCAGGUUUGGAGCAAGAAGAUCGGAUGAAUGACAAGCACUAGGUAUGUCCAACAACCAUCACACAACAUUGAAUUAAAUUCAUCCAAACUUGAAUUUUCCAAAAUUCAAGCUUGGGGGAAAUACUUUACAUAAAAACAUCAUUUGCCAUGUUGCUAUGUUGGUUGUCCUUACCUUUGAGACAUGCUCAAUUUGUUAAAUACUAAUCACACUACUUCAUCUCCACUUAAGUAGAUCUCUAUAAGCCAUCAUGCUACCUUUGUUUAUCCUAGUAAGUGUUAGUUUGGAAGUACUGUACAUACUUCUAUUGGCUUUUAAAUUAAGCGUGGUGCUUAGGUUAAAUAGCCUUCCUUAAUCUGAUUAGACAUGGAGUCUAGUUUGGUUACUGAACUAAAAACUGCUUGAGUAGAUAUUGGCAUAUUUUGUUGGACUAACCCCUACAGGAAAACUUUCAACCUGGGAAGUCCUGAGAUACAAACUCAUUGGAGAUAAAGGAGACACAUGAAGUUUAACAAUUUGCACAAGAAGGACAUAGCUCAUUCAUCAUAAAGAGAUGAUCUAUGGAGGGUGCCACAAACACGAUGCACAACCGCUAAGAAAGGAAAGCUUCCACAAGGUGAUAUUGUACCGUCACUCUUCAAGUAAGGUAACACCUUAUGGUACUUGACUAUCGCUUUUAUAAGCUUCUCCUUGGUUCUAGCAUUCACAUAAAUAAAGAGACAAACAUGUAUGAUUUAUAACUCCAGAUUAACCAACUCAAUUAAUUCAUCAUGUUUAGUCCUUAAUCUUUGUUCUUAGUACUACCUUCGUGAUCCCAUACUCCUAAUCAUAUAAGUUAAAAUGUUGCACAUUCAAUAUUUGGAAGAUAUAAACAAAACAUAAAUAUAGAUAGAUUAUCUUUCCAUUACGUUGAGCCAUCUGAUCUAACAAAUGUUUUAAAUGCUACACUCAUGAUCCAUCAACUUUGUCUUGCUCACUAUGCUUAAGGUUAGAGAAGAACAAAUACACUUUUGGUUUUGUUGGUGUUUUCCACCAACAGGGCCCAUGCACUUGAUCUCUGCCUUGUCUCUAUGAAUAGGUACACUUCAAACAAAAUAUGGAGGAGUUUUACAACUCCCAGAUUCCACCAAGUGAAGAACCGGGAUCUACGAGCACAAACACAAUGGAGAUCAGACACUUAGUUUCCCAAAGGAAAUAUUGAAGAACCUCUGUGUCCGAGUUGGUACCUUGUACGCUCCAGCAAACUUUGUGGUUGAGGAGAGGGCACCCAUCAUCUUAGGGAGGCCAUUCCUAAACACCAGAGCUGUCAUCUACGCUAAUGCUGCCAAGAUCCGUUUCUACAUCAAGGGGGAGAAGGAGACUUUCCUUCAAGAACAAGACUACACAAAUUUCAGAGCAAUCCCGACAUGAACCAAGGAAGAGGACCAACAGGAGGAACAGGAACAAGCAAAUGUGGACCGAGUCAGCUAAGAUGGUCACUGCAGCUCAAGGAGGUCAAGAUCGUCGACUCAAGUCACCUUUCUUGAUCAAGAAGGACGAUCCUGGUGUUCCAAGCAUCGAGUGCUCAAUCAAUGGAUACUCUUUUCAGAAGACACUCUACGACAUCGGAUCUAACGACAACGGGAUUACAUAGAGAUAUCAACGCACCGCGCAAUUUUCUACCAUCUAGAAGACUCCAGAAGCCACGGGAAGGAAGCGGAGGCCGAAAGGGGCCAGGCCCAGGGCGCCCGCCCUGAGGACCUGGGCGCCCGCCCCCCUUUGGACUCUGUUCGGGACUCUCUUCGCACACGACGUUCCACCGACCUAAUAGAUCAAAGAUAAUGUAGUACCACCUUGCCUACCGACCCAAAAACGCAUAGAGGAGGAGGACUAUAUAAGGACACCCCCUGGCCCCUGGAGGAGACAAGAAAUUAUCAUAGAGAUUGAGAGGUGCCCUCAAAGGAAAACCUCUUCUCUAAAUAAUAUUUCUUUUUAGGCUUAGCAACCAAUGUAAGUAGAAAUAGAUCUUCUAGUUUCUACUAGAUUGAGAGAGAUAGAGUGGAGGUGUAGAUCGGAGGAAGGCCG
Molecule: long non-coding RNA, 4159 nt
Filed under: Sorghum bicolor (sorghum)
Lineage: Eukaryota; Viridiplantae; Streptophyta; Magnoliopsida; Poales; Poaceae
Description: long non-coding RNA (SBIC_LNC012641)
Source: RNAcentral